AUUGAACGCUGGCGGCAGGCCUAACACAUGCAAGUCGAGCGGAUGAAGGGAGCUUGCUCCUGGAUUCAGCGGCGGACGGGUGAGUAAUGCCUAGGAAUCUGCCUGGUAGUGGGGGAUAACGUCCGGAAACGGGCGCUAAUACCGCAUACGUCCUGAGGGAGAAAGUGGGGGAUCUUCGGACCUCACGCUAUCAGAUGAGCCUAGGUCGGAUUAGCUAGUUGGUGGGGUAAAGGCCUACCAAGGCGACGAUCCGUAACUGGUCUGAGAGGAUGAUCAGUCACACUGGAACGGAGACACGGUCCAGACGCCUACGGGAGGCAGCAGUGGGGAAUAUUGGACAAUGGGCGAAAGCCUGAUCCAGCCAUGCCGCGUGUGUGAAGAAGGUCUUCGGAUUGUAAAGCACUUUUAGUUGGGAGGAAGGGCAGUAAGUUAAUACCUUGCUGUUUUGACGUUACCAACAGAAUAAGCACCGGCUAACUUCGUG
Molecule: ribosomal RNA, 484 nt
Filed under: uncultured bacterium
Lineage: Bacteria
Description: partial 16S ribosomal RNA
Rfam family: Bacterial small subunit ribosomal RNA
Source: RNAcentral